CUGAAGUCUGGGGAAUUCAAAUGCUGUUGGAAUAACCGUGGCUGACAUUUAUUGAAGGCUUCCUAUGUGCCAAGCUGUGGGCUAGGCCCUUGACACAACGAAUGUUCCAGAUAAUCUGGGAGACAGGUAUUAUUACCUGGAUUUUACAGGUGUGGAAAUCUAGUCUUAGAGAAGUAGUUGCCAGCCCAAGGCAGUGUGAGAAUGACACCCGGGUUUGACUGACCCUGGAGCCGUGACUCAUGUCUUAUUUUGUGGCAGAAUGUUGGAGCUCUGAGCUUUCUGAGGCAGGCAGGAGCUUUCUGUUUGGGAGGAGAGACCAAGGAAGGGGCAGCCAUCCCAGCAGCCCAGCCCUCCUCUGUCAGUGCUCCCCCUACCCUUCAUGGGGGAUGCUAGGGGCCUGUCAGUUCCCUGAAGCAGACAGCUUCUUCCACGGGACCCACACAAAUGCACUUCGUCCCUCUUGGUCUCAGGCCCUCCCUCUGGAAAGUUCUCUCCUGAGUAGCAGGAAAUGGAGAAAGGAGGCAGUUGAAGAAGGAGCGAGGUUGGAAGUGUGCUCAAGUGUGGGGGAAGAAGCUCCCCAUAACUGAGAUGCGUGGGGGUGGCACCCAGAGCCUAGACCACGUGGCUUUCCACCCUCCCUUCCGAGCAGCAGGACUUGGUGAGUUACAUAAUCUCUCUGCACCUGGGUUUCCUCAUCUGUCAACUAGGAGAACAGAAACCCCUGCUGUGGCGAGGGUUUCAUCAGGUGCAGUGAGGCAUAUAAAGCACUUCGAACAGUGCCUGGCCCAUAGUAAAUGCUUCUCAAAAAUCAGCUCCUGUUAUUCUCCAGAAGCAGCUCAUUUUCAUCGAGUAGACCAUGGUGAGCAAAUAUUCACAGAUAGGUACAGCUCAAGUAUAAAUGAUCAGGCAGAGAACACAGAUCAGCUCUCCUUCGGGCCAGAGUCUAACUUCAAGGAGUUAGACUCCUUUCCCAGGCUCGCCCCACACUCAUCUUUCUGGUUUGAACCUGGCUACUCCUUUGGCUGCCGGGGCUUGAAAUUCUCAAAAGGAUCUGAAGGGGUUGGGAAUCCCCAAUUCUCUUUGUUCCAGAACAUUCUAAUAUGGUUCUGAAGGUCUAUGGGACCCCAUCUUACUCCUCUCCUCUGCAGGCCCAGAUUGAGCUAGGAGAAUUAGCCAGGCAAGAACAAGGACAGGGCCUGACAUUCUGGAAGAAUCUGUUCUCCUGGCCCCACCUAAAGAACCUUUUCUAAUGAUCCUUUCUUGGGUCAGCUGAGCCUGUGUGUCUACAUAUCCAGAACAGGCCGGACAGGGCUUAGCAUCUCUGUGAUCAUCACAAUCAAACACCAGGUCACUGCCAUCAUCAACAGUACUAUCCUGGCAAUGUCACCGUCAUCUAGACCAGGAUCACUAUCACCUCUGCAUCUUGCAACCCCCUCCAUCACUGAUGUGGCCUCUGCCAUUUCCAUCUUCCUCUUCACCAUUGACGUUGCUGGGGUCGCUCCCACACGGUGACCUUUACACUCCCAUGAUCACCUGCUGCUUGCGGUCAGUCAGAACCCUCAGGCAGAAAGAGACAGAAACCCAAGUCAACGAAUUUAAGGAAAAAAAUGUGGUUGGGGGUUUAUGUCUCACCCACCCAAAGAGUAGGACUACAGAAAGAGUAGGACUCUCCUAGCCACUGUGCCCACAGCACUCAAACACCGAACAUAAUUAGGAAGCUUUCUUUCUGUCCAUCUCUGCUUUACUCCCAUUUAUUUAAUUCUUUUUCUUUUUCUUUCUUUUUGCAGAGAGACCCCUGUCCAUGUGAGCUUUGUGGAUCCAUAUACUGGUUGUAUAGUGACCCAAAAGCGAAAGAAUUUUCAUCUAUCAAGUUGAAAAAAUCCCAAGAAAGUUCCCUGAUGAAUUGAGCUUGGUUGCCCUUUGGGCUCAGAUCACAGGAAUUGGGAUGUGUGGUUCUGUGCUUGGCCCAGCUUGGUCACGUACCUAGCAAAGACAUGGAACUGGAGCAAACUUGGUGAACAGGUGAUGACCUUAGUUUGUGUCCACAUUCACGUCUUCCACCAGCACCACCAUCACCAUCACCACCACCACCAUCACCACCACCAUCACCAUCACUAUUAUCACCACCACGACUGGCACAGUUUUGCUAAGAGCUGUCCUGAGCCCAGCCUGGAGCUUCACAUUUGGAACUGCAACAGAUUUGACUUGGAUCAAGUCUCCAGACCUAUGGGAAUUUACUGUUUGGGGGUAACAAAGUUCAUGUGUUCAAGGAGCUAGACUCCUAACCCUGGGCUAUGAGGUGGGAGCAGGAAGGGAAGCUGCGGGGACAGGCCUGCCCCUGCAGCAUGGGCCCCAUCCCUGAGCAGGCCCAACAGCCGCAGCAACCCAUCAAAGAUCCAACGAUGGGCCAGGCCAUUUAGCAAAAGGCUACCUGUGCCCAGGCCCAGAGUGAGAGCCAUUCCUUGCUCUCUGCACAGCUCCCACACCAGCCCGGUGCCCUGUGCCCGGCCAGAGCCCUCACCACAACUGCCCCUCCCGAGGGCUGAGGCUUGUUUUGGCUCCAGGCCUCCUGUUCCCGCUCCGUCUCUGAGCAAACAUCUGUUUCCAGAUGUUGUCCCAGAGCCUUAUAAAGUUGAGGGAAGGCCUGAGUUAAUAGAGCUCCAGCAGACCCGCCUCGGCAGCGAGCUCACGUCAGGAAUGGAUCACUCAAGGAAAGCAAGACCCCUCAUUUCCUGAGGGGGGUGGGGCGUACAGGAAAGAUGAAUAGGGCACCCCCUCUCCGUUCCAGAAAUGACCUUAGCAAAGCAACCGCCUUCAGGAAAAAGAGGGAAAAGGCUUUUGUAAUGAGGUUUGCAGGAACGAAUGUUCCAGGCUGUUCUGCGUUCAGGGCUACUGCUGGGGAGGAACCAGAGGGAGGAAAGCUCAGCGGGACAGCAGAGCCUCCCCUGGAUUUACUGGCCACAAUCUGAGUUUGACCCUGGGAGCUGUGUGGUGCCUGGCAGGGAAGGGACCUGGCUGGAGUCUGGAUUUGACACCAGUGUGCUGGGUGACCUUGGAAGAGGCUCUGACCUCUCUGUGCUCGGUUUCUGCCAGUGUCACACACAGUGGAACCUUGGGUGAUUUAUAAAGGUCUUUCUGGGCCAGGGUGGGGCUCCUCUGCACACCAAACAGGGAGAGCUACUCCUAGGAAAAGAUCCCAAGGUAAAGGGUUCGGAGUGGCGGGGCGAGUCCAGGGCUGGGGGCUCGAGACAAGCAGGGACCCAUGGCAUGACCUCAAUCCCAGGUCCUAGUGAAUAGGGCUCGGCUUCAGCCAAGGAAUCCGGCUCUGUGUUAUCUGUCAUCAAACAAAAGCCUCUGUCUCUUAGAUGGCAGUGCCUGUCUUUCCAGCACAUCUCCCGCCUGUCAUGGGAACUCAGGUCCUGGGCUGCUUCUCCGAGAACAUGCUUGGGAUGCCCUUCCACCCUCUCUGUGCUGAGGCCCAGCUUCCCAGCCCUGAUUCCACAGGCUGACGGCUCUGAGGCCCCGCGUCUCGCUCCCACUCCUCCUGCAUGUGCUUCUUCCAAGAAGCUGCAAGCGGGGCCCUAAUGGAUGCGUUUGCUGAUGAUUUCUGACGUCUGGCUGCAGCGUGGCCUUGCCUUCCUCUCUUAUGGGUUUUGUGCUUUAUUGGGGCCUCGUGCACAUGAUCUCAUUUGAGUGUUGCAGCAUUCCCUGGCGUAGGAAUGAGGAGUCCCCUGCCCUCGACAGGAGGAUGAGUUCUAGGGAGGUCAAAACAUUUCCUGAAAGGCACACAGCUUGCAAUGGAGAAGCCAGGACUUGGAGUUUUGGGGGUGCCUUGUUUCAAAUUCACCCUGGAUCAACAAAAUGAUCCUCCAGUGCUAAUCUCACUAGAUGGGUAAUAGCUUCCUAUUUUGAGAAAUGUAAGAAGCGUGUGGGGUGCAGGGAGUGGUGCUCUGUAGCUGAUGAGAGAUGUCUGUCAACGGUGUGGGAAUGGAGUGUUGGUGUGACCAGACCAUGCCACGGAGAAGGGAGACGUGGAAGGAGCUCAUGGUUGAGGCUGUUGGGUAUCAAGAGGUCAUUUGAUGCACCCCAGUCAUUUGCAGUCAUUUGAUGGCAAAGAUGGACCACAAAAGCUUGGACCUUCUGUUCUGUUCUCCCAGAGCUCUCCUCUAUCUGGAUCCUUCCAUGCUCUGAGGCCCAGCCCAGGACUUUCUCUUCCAGAAACCUUCACCCUAACUCUGAGUCUUCAUGCCAGUCCCUUUCUCCAAGUCCCAAGGCCCUGGUCAUCCUGUUUGGCCCUCAGCUCAUGCUGCUCUUUCCUGAAGCCCCCACAUUCAUCCCUCAGGAUUGUGAACCCUGUGAGAAGCUGAUCUGGGUUUUGUCCCACUAGGAACUCAAUAACAGAUGUGGGCUGACUAAUGGAUCAGUGGCCCAGACCCUAGAAUGAGCAAGCAGCGGCCUUCCUCCCAGCCCCAGGACCGCAGGCUUAACGGCAGGCGAGACCCUUGUUUGAUCUGUUUUGUUUGAUCUUUGUCGUGCAUUCCAAGUCCCUGCAGUUAUCAUGGUGGCUCCCACAGAGGGAACUGGGGGCUCUGCACUCUGUACACAUGGUUGGAUCCAAUUCUCAUACUCCAGGAGAUAGAAAGUGGUUUUCCCAGAGAUCAGAGUUUAAGCUCAGAGUUUAAGUAAUUUGCUCAAGAUUGCACAGAUGUAAACAGAGAGUCCAUUCCUGGAAUGGACUCACAGUGAGUCCUACCUGGAAUCGCCUCCCAGUGAACACAGAAUGAGGCCCAGCUCCUGGCCCUGGAUAAGGCCAAGUGGGAGACUCUUGUGGAAUUAUUCUGAAACCCCCUGAGAUCAGAGGAACACAGGCUCGUGGGGGCUUCCAGCUGCUCCUGGAGGGAGUCAGCAAGACAGAGCUGGGCUGGGAAGGCUCCGACAUGGCUCUCGGGAUGGCAGCUGGGCAUGGCCUUUGCUAACCACAACAUUCCUCUAAUCCACUUCUCAGGACCAAGUGGUCCUAGACAGGCCCAUGAGCCCACCCUGCCAGGCAUUUACUCCUGUAAACACAUCUGUGGCCUCCAACGUAACCAAAUAUCACGGAAUCCACAACCAGGGUAGUUCUAAGCUUGGCCAUGUAACUUGUAGCACGUGUCAUACAUGCAGAGGAACUUGGAGCUCUCCUUCUGAAAGUCAAGUACCCAUGCUGUAAAGCAGCUCUGGAGAGACUGCAGAACAUUCCAGGGCAUGCUAAGAGGGUGAGAAACCAUCCUGAAUGUCCCAGCCCCAGCAGAGCUCCCUGCCAAGUUCCCACCAUGCAGCCAGCCACACCAGUACCUACAGCAGAAGAACCACUCAGCUGAGCCCUGUCAACCCACAGAAUUAAAGGAAAAGAAUCAAUCAAUGUGU
This 5406-nucleotide long non-coding RNA is filed under the name Marmota monax (woodchuck). Lineage: Eukaryota; Metazoa; Chordata; Mammalia; Rodentia; Sciuridae. The record is from RNAcentral.